RNAcentral lists this ribosomal RNA (277 nucleotides) under uncultured bacterium. RNAcentral describes it as "partial 16S ribosomal RNA". It matches the Rfam family "Bacterial small subunit ribosomal RNA", at positions 32 to 319 of the family's 1533-position model. The record is from RNAcentral.
AAUCAACGCUGGCGGCGCGCUUAACACAUGCAAGUCGAACGAGAAAGGGGAGCAAUCCCUGAGUACAGUGGCGUACGGGUGAGUAACACGUGGGUAAUCUACACUCUAGUGGGGGAUAACCCUGGGAAACCGGGGCUAAUACCGCAUAAGCCUGAGAAGGGAAAGCCGAAAGGCGCUGGAGGAGGAGUCCGCGGCCGAUUAGCUAGUUGGUGAGGUAAAGGCUCACCAAGGCGAUGAUCGGUAGCCGGCCUGAGAGGGCACACGGCCACACUGGCAC